GUCCUGGUGCUAUCCUAGCGCAUCCUACCCCUCGCGCUCGUCAGUGGGGCUGGGACAGCGCGUUCACACAGGGUCAGAGCAGGGCGGAUAUUUCUCGCCGUCAGGAAGGAGGACUCAAGUACCCGGCAGAUUGUAUGAGGAAACUGAGGAACCUAGUGGUGCAGUUACUUGUCCAAGAUCACACAGCAAGCCAGAGGCAGAGCCAGGAAGAGAAGGCAAUUCACUUGAGUCUCAUUCCAGUGCCCUAUCCACUGUAUCAUACCCUAAGAUUUAAAAUCUGCAUUAAUGUUCUUGAAGACGGAAUAAACAGUACAUGAACUACAUUCACAGAGGCGCCUUGUGACAGAGUGCUGGUUACAAAACCCUGGACCAGACCUCAGGCACACCAGCUCCAAUCAGGAAAGGGGAAUUGGAGCUGGCUGAGUAAGCCCAGGCCUAAGUGGCAAAUGGAGAACAGCUGCUGACCUCAUCAGCCAGGGGCUACAUAAAGGCUGUCAGGAAGGAAGCCAAGGGGGAAAAAAUGGAAGAGCUUGGGAGGCAUUGUUAGCUGCAAGCCUGAUGCUGUCUCUAGCUACAAGGUGGUGGGAACUUGUGCUGUAAAUAAAGAGCAUGGGUGAUUGUACCAAA
Mauremys reevesii (Reeves's turtle) is the source of this 627-nucleotide long non-coding RNA. RefSeq lists it as uncharacterized. NCBI's taxonomy places the organism in Eukaryota, Metazoa, Chordata, Testudines, Geoemydidae. The transcript is spliced from 2 exons. The record is from RefSeq and is a predicted model, not a curated record.